UAAAACGUAGGGGGCCAGCGUUGCUCGGAAUUACUGGGCGUAAAGGGUCCGUAGGCGGUGUGGCAAGUCGGAAGUGAAAUCUCUGGGCUUAACUCAGAGGCUGCUUCCGAAACUGCCGUGCUAGAGUGCGAGAGAGGCAAGUGGAAUUGCGGGUGUAGCGGUGAAAUGCGUAGAUAUCCGCAGGAACAUCCGAGGCGAAAGCGGCUUGCUGGAUCGCAACUGACGCUGAGGGACGAAAGCUAGGGGAGCAAACAGGAUUAGAUACCCUGG
RNAcentral lists this ribosomal RNA (270 nucleotides) under uncultured bacterium. RNAcentral describes it as "partial 16S ribosomal RNA". It matches the Rfam family "Bacterial small subunit ribosomal RNA", at positions 521 to 790 of the family's 1533-position model. The record is from RNAcentral.